GGAUAAUCCAAGAUUGCUUGUGAGAAUUCUCGAAUUUGUUCCUCAAGAAGGGGUUUCUUGUGACGCAAAAAGUGAUGCAAUCCGUGUUUAAUGGCCACACGUGCGAGCUUUUCUGUAUUAACGUUGGCGGCACGGAGCCGUGUCAAGGCACCGGGUGGCAAAUCCGGAUACUUGAAGUAGUGUUCCCUGGUGAAGAGAAGGUUAAGC
Molecule: unclassified non-coding RNA, 207 nt
Filed under: Hevea brasiliensis (rubber tree)
Lineage: Eukaryota; Viridiplantae; Streptophyta; Magnoliopsida; Malpighiales; Euphorbiaceae
Source: RNAcentral